CGACCGGGUGAGUAACACGUGACUAACCUACCCUUGAGUGGGGAAUAACCUCGGGAAACCGGGGCUAAUACCGCAUAAAGUCCAAUGGCUGAGAUGCCGAUGGACCAAAGGAGCAAUUCGUUUAAGGAGGGGGUCGCGGCAGAUUAGCUAGUUGGUGAGGUAAUGGCUCACCAAGGCAUUGAUCUGUAGCCGGCCUGAGAGGGCGCACGGCCACACUGGAACUGAAACACGGUCCAG
This 237-nucleotide ribosomal RNA is filed under the name uncultured bacterium. RNAcentral's name for it is "partial 16S ribosomal RNA". It matches the Rfam family "Bacterial small subunit ribosomal RNA", at positions 99 to 334 of the family's 1533-position model. The record is from RNAcentral.